This 559-nucleotide long non-coding RNA is filed under the name Pan troglodytes (chimpanzee). Its description in RNAcentral is "lincRNA". Lineage: Eukaryota; Metazoa; Chordata; Mammalia; Primates; Hominidae. The record is from RNAcentral.
GAAGCCAACCGUCCUCGGUUUCCUGGCCUGUGGCAUCAGUCUGGUUGGAUUACACACAAAGCCCUGCAGAUCUGCUGCUUUUCCUGAUUCUCCUGUCCUGAGUGAGUGCAAGGGGCUCCCCUGUCGCCGAUGUGUUCUUUGAAGCAGAUGCUGUGCCUGAUACCUGCUGGAGAGUCCCACCGCCUUGAGCUUCUGGGUCGAGAAAGGCCAAGUUGCACACUACUGAGAGACUGCCAUGCACCCCCUGGAGGCCUCAGAACAUUCGACAUGCUCCAGUCAUGGCCACGGCAGUGACUGCUGAUUGCCUAACCCCACAUGUGUUCUCCCCCUUCCCUGAUAAUCAAGCCCCUGAUUUUCAGCUGGGCACAAAAUAAUUCUUCCUAGGACAACUCCACGUGUGUUAUCGCCCUUGCAGCUGGGGGUGGCCACCACUGGGGAGAGGCAGGGUGAAGAGGUGGAAGGAGCCUGAGUUAGCAGGGAUGAGCAGUGGCCAGGUAACCCCAGACCCAUUAUCCUCUGGAUUUCUUUUAUGUGAAACAAUAAAAUGUCUUGUAUUCGA